RNAcentral lists this ribosomal RNA (455 nucleotides) under uncultured bacterium. Its description in RNAcentral is "bacterial SSU rRNA". It matches the Rfam family "Bacterial small subunit ribosomal RNA", at positions 340 to 786 of the family's 1533-position model. The record is from RNAcentral.
UACGGAAGGUAGCAGUGGGGAAUAUUGCACAAUGGGCGAAAGCCUGAUGCAGCUAUGCUGCGUGUAUGAAGAAGGCCUUAGGGUUGUAAAGUACUUUCAUCGGGGAGGAAAAACAAAACUAAUAAUUUUAUUUCUUGACGUUACCCGAAAAAGAAGCACCGGCUAACUCCGUGCCAGCAGCCGCGGUAAUACGGAGGGUGCUAGCGUUAAUCAGAAUUACUGGGCGUAAAGAGCACGUAGGUGGUUUUUUUAAGUCAGAUGUGAAAUCCCUGGGCUUAACCUAGGAACUGCAUUUUGAAACUGAAAUACUAGAGUAUCGUAGAGGGAGGUAGAAUUCUAGGUGUAGCGGUGAAAUGCGUAGAUAUCUGGAGGAAUACCUGUGGCGAAAGCGGCCUCCUAAACGAAUACUGACACUGAGGUGCGAAAGCGUGGGGAGCAAACGAGGAUUAGAUACC